AAAAAGAAAAAAAAAAAAAAAACUAUGAUGAACAAUGUUUAAAAACUUGUACGUGGUGCUUUCGAUUUAAAUGUGAUACAUAAGGCGGUGGUAUCGUAUUGAACACACCCCAUAAAUUAUACCAAAAUUAUAAAAAUUGAGUCAUCAAAACAGAACAAGUUUCUUUAGUUUGAAGGAUAAUGUUAUGUGGUUUUGGUGCUAUAUUAUAUUCUUAUUUUUCAAAGUAAUUAUGCUUUUAUAAUAUAAAAAAUAAUCUUGUUAACCUAAAACAUUGUCCGUUUGACCAAACAACCAGUUCCUUGGAAGAUUAAACCAGCCAUUACACAAACUUUCAACAACAAGCAUCUAAUGUCAAGGUUUUUAAAACACACUUUUUCUAUAUGAGUUGCAAGGGUCUGGAUAUAUCAAAACGAUUUCAUACAUAUAAGUCAUGAGAUACGUGGUUUUAUAAUAGUGUAUAUACUUUUACUCGCGUAUCAUUUUUUCCCAAAAUGGUACAUAAACCAUGAGUUAGGCAGUAUGAAAGGCAAAUACUUAAAUAUGAUUCGCAUAUCGCUAAAAAAAACCCUUAUUAGUCUUGAAUCUGAAUCGAAUGAGUUUACCAACUAUCUCGAUGUAAAUUCAUACACAAUGAGUUUCGAUUAAUAUCUAUAAUAAAUAUAUUUUUUCCGCCUAUAACAAAUGCCACGCAAAUCAGAUUCGAGUAUAUGAUUGGUGUAACAUUAAAGAACAUAUUUUCUUCUUUCUGUAGGCUACCCGUUAGAAAUAGAGAGGUUAUGAUUAACACAACUGAAAAAACAGCUAUGUAGAUGAAUUUAUAAUUUUCUCGAAUCAGAUUCCGGAAUUAAAUCGCUAUUUCUCGGAAUAUAUAAUUGUUUAUCAUGUCAAAGCAAGCAAAUCAAGUAGAUUUAUUAAAAAAAUAUAACCUCCAAAAAAUUGGAACAUAUCAAUAUAUAAUUGUUUAUCAUGUCAAUCAAUAAAUAAAUCUUGAAGAACAAGCAUAUACAGAUCAAAACCCUAGGUAAACAUUAGACAAAAUUCACGCGUCUGUGUAACAAUUUGAUUCGAUGAACUAUAACAUAUGUUACGAUGAUUAGACAAUAAUCAACAUAAAUAUCAAUCAUUAUGUGAUGAUUCGAAUAAUCCAAGAAAGUUGAUCGAUAACUGACCGAAAUUGAACAGGAAAAAUAAUCGGAUUUUGCAGAUUGGUUGAAACAGAAUUCAACAAGAGAGAAUCAGGGUCCGUCAAAGGGAGAUUUAUGAGAGAGAUUAAUAUAUACACAUGGCGUCUGACACAAGAUAAUCGUCGGUUUGUGUGAAGGAAGCUUAUUCACGCGUUGCUUCGAC
Molecule: long non-coding RNA, 1347 nt
Filed under: Helianthus annuus (common sunflower)
Lineage: Eukaryota; Viridiplantae; Streptophyta; Magnoliopsida; Asterales; Asteraceae
Description: sRNA HanXRQr2_Chr01g0027561
Source: RNAcentral